AAAGAGAUCUUCUAGCAUGGGCUGCAGACGGGCUGAUAUUGAGCAGUGGGUAUCAUCAGGCACAGAUAGUGGUAAUUCUGCAUAUUUUAUACAUCCUGAGAAUCCUCAGGAUACUUUGAGCUGGAAUCAGCAGAGUUUGCCAUCAGAUCUGUGCUGCUGAGCCAAACAAUAAUGAUGAAAGCUGCGAGGAAAUGCAAUGUUGUCUGGCAGUAUUGCACUACCUGCAGCCCUGCUUUGAAAUGAGAUGUCACAAUUCAAGGAAAAACAGGAGAUGGGUGAUCAGCAACAGAUCAUCAAAGGAAGUAGAGAUACAGGAUUAAGAGGCAGUCCCAGGGCAUGGAAACCAGCCAACACAGCUGGAACAGCUGGGGUGCCUCAGCAGUGCACACAGGACGAGCCUCUCCCAACCAACUUCUAGCCCAGAUUUUAUGGAAAAUAAAAGAAACU
Non-coding RNA from Cyanistes caeruleus (blue tit), 447 nucleotides. Lineage: Eukaryota; Metazoa; Chordata; Aves; Passeriformes; Paridae. The record is from RefSeq and is a predicted model, not a curated record.